This is a long non-coding RNA of Aedes aegypti (yellow fever mosquito), 527 nucleotides long. RefSeq lists it as uncharacterized. The record is from RefSeq and is a predicted model, not a curated record. NCBI's taxonomy places the organism in Eukaryota, Metazoa, Arthropoda, Insecta, Diptera, Culicidae. The transcript has 2 exons.
GGGUGCCCCACCACAAAGGAAUCCACUUCGAUAAACAUUUCUGCCAUCGAAAUGAUAAACCCACGAGGAACCAUGAUAUAAAAAAAACAAUCGCCAUCAGUAUCAAUCGAACGAUUGUACCUCGCUGAUGUAACCUCGAAGUAUUUGGAUCAUUGUGCAAUCCAAUUUCGCGUAAACUGCACACGUAGCCAACCUACUUUCGACUUGUGUGAAAACCGAAUCAUUAAAAUUCAUUGGCGAACAAAAGUUGACGAUCAGUUCGCGUGUUAAAUUGGAAAAAGCAAACUUUUGAGCACUGAGAGAGCUUGAAACGAAGUGAACGAAAAAUGUUGCUGCAAGCUGAAAGGAUAAUUUUCAUUUCAACGCCGUGAGACGUGAGAAGUAUGUAUUAGACCAGAAAGGCGUUGGGUAAUUAUCGUUUCGCGAAGAAACGGUGAAAUGCUCAUCUACAAAAAAAUAUGCAUUGAUAGACUAGAAUCUGUAAAACAUGGAUUGGAAGGCAAAAAUCUGAAAUUCCUUGGCCACCA